Long non-coding RNA from Micropterus dolomieu (smallmouth bass), 795 nucleotides. RefSeq lists it as uncharacterized. The record is from RefSeq and is a predicted model, not a curated record. The transcript has 2 exons. NCBI's taxonomy places the organism in Eukaryota, Metazoa, Chordata, Actinopteri, Centrarchiformes, Centrarchidae.
UCAUUUUGUGGAAUCUGUGGAAUCUAAUUUUGUUAUACUUUGUGCGCCACCCCAUACCAAUACACAGAAUGGCUCCAACACUUUGCUUACUAAAGACUUUUGUGGGUAAAACUACUGACUGACACCACGGCAAAGGGGGAUAUGCACAUUUGAGCGUAUAUAUACCACAAUCUCACUAUUAAUACAAUGGUAAGUGGUGAGCUGCAAUUUUAACUGGCGGCCCCACUGCUAUCGCGGGCCCCUGUACAGUACAAGUUCUUGUGCAGCUGUACUUUCUACACCUACGCCCCUGGAUGUGGUCUUCACAUGGGUUGAUUGCAUGUGGAUGGGCUGAUGGGAGUCAGGUGUUUGGGCGUGACCUCCACUCUGCAGUCACACACUAGACUCAGUGAGUUUCUGCUUUUCUCCUGUGUGCAGUAUGCGGGUGUGCUGAGGCUGCUGAAGGUAUACAAGAAAAUGUGGCACACGGCUGGGUCGGAGUUUGGAGAGUUGCACGGUGCAGGGCAACAGCCACUUAGUAGAGUUACCAGAGGCCCCAGGCAGUGGGGAGGCCACAACCGACCAGCCUGUGACCAACAGCAGCGGACCAAUCCUUGGCGUGUUGUUUGCUUCUCCACAUGCAGGGAACGGAAGUUGAGCACACCCAACCACAAAUAGCCUAAUUCCAUUCUGCUUAAUUGAUCCUGAGCUUCCCCCAUUGAACUGACUUUUAGCUUUCUUGUCUUUGGCCUUGUUUUUAACUUAUGUGUAUUUAAUUAAAUGUUUAAAUAAAAUAGGAGGUUUAUAUUUUGCACA